GGUAGGAAUUCAUGCUCCUGUAUUCUCAGAUCGUUAGGAUUCCAAUUGUGCCUAAAUAUAUCUUGUAUUCUGCGAAGAAGAACCUGAGAGAGGUUGAAGAUGGGAGGAGAUGAUUUUGAUUGGAAUACUGAUGAUGAGCUUGAAAUUGAGAACUAUAACUCUUCAUGUUCAUGUUUAACCCUUCCUAUUG
Long non-coding RNA from Glycine soja, 190 nucleotides. RefSeq lists it as uncharacterized. The transcript has 3 exons. Lineage: Eukaryota; Viridiplantae; Streptophyta; Magnoliopsida; Fabales; Fabaceae. The record is from RefSeq and is a predicted model, not a curated record.